This 290-nucleotide long non-coding RNA is filed under the name Gallus gallus (chicken). The record is from RNAcentral. Lineage: Eukaryota; Metazoa; Chordata; Aves; Galliformes; Phasianidae.
AAAAACUGUUUCUUUUUCAAGCUUGGCAACUCUCUUGGAUUCAAAUGGGCCAAACUGGGUACGUUUCACUAGCUGAGUCAAAGCAAAUACUCCUUCAGUCCCAUCUUCCAACUGUCUUAUCUCCAAAUUAGAAGGCAGAGAUGAUCUGGCCCUGCUCAACACAAAGGAAUCUUUGACUGUCACCACUGGGCCCAGCUCAGGGCACUCUGAAUCAUGGUACUGCCCACAGUCCUCGCACCAAACAAACAUAGUCUCAUCACUGCCAUCUUCAGCCAUUUUUUAAACCUGCC